Molecule: long non-coding RNA, 4808 nt
Organism: Ahaetulla prasina
Lineage: Eukaryota; Metazoa; Chordata; Lepidosauria; Squamata; Colubridae
Exons: 5
Source: RefSeq, a predicted model, not a curated record
UUGGUCUGAUUCCUAGGCUUUGUCUAUGGAGAUUCUCAGUCAUCCAGGUCAUGGUUGUCCCAAAGGUGCUUUUCAAAAGGCAAUUGGACUUAGUUUAUUUCCUUGAAGACGUUUCGCUUCUCAUCCAAGAAACUUCUUCAGUUCUGACUGAAUGGCAAUGAUGAAAUGGCACCUACAAAAUGAAAGCAGGUGAAUGGGCAGUUUGCAUUGGAGGAGACACACUCUCAGGAAAUAGGUCACAGCUUCAGUCUGAAGUAGCAAUCUUUGGAUCACUAACCAGUGGCCAGCUUUGAAACAGAAGCUACUGGAAAGAUGAAUUAAAUGAACAACAAGGAUUGUCCCAAGAGAACCUGGUGUACUGCUGUUUCUCCUCUUCAAACAACAGCUCUUAAUAGAGGUGAACUUCCUUCAGUUCUGUGUGGUCCAGCUGCUUCCUAAUUUGAUAGUGCCGAUACAUCAAACCUCGUGGGAACAUUACUAUAUGGUGACAAAAAGGCAUAGUUGGGAAGCAUUUUUCAGAGUGAGAGAAAGUCAGCAAUUCUGUCUUAAAGUCUAACUUCAGUGUUUUCCUGAUACCAGUCUUUUUCAACAGGAAAAGAGAACUCUAACCCCCCCUCUCCCCAUGAUAAAUUUCCUUACAGAGAAAAAGGUAAUCUAAUAUUUUCAGAUGUCAAGAUGGUGCAUGCCAGGCCUUGCAUCUCAGGGUAGGGCUAUAGUGGGUAACAUCUGUUUAACAUUAUUCAGAGGAAAACCCCAAAGUGGCUCUUUUUGAAGUUCACAAGAGCCAGCCUGGGGUAUUUGACAAUCUGCCAAAACACCACCACCACCACUACCUUCUCAUGUAAAUAUGCUUGCUUCUGGCUCUUCACAAACCGCAUGUUUUUGGAUUAGAUCUAUGCAUAUUUACCCAGAAAUAAUUCCAGUUGCUUUCCAAUACUGAGUUAUCUUCUUCAUUCAGCUACUGUAGUAAAUUCUGCCACCUGAUUUUCAUCCUACCAUUUCCUAUUGAAUGUCUUUCGAGAGUGUUACUGAAUUUAAAAUCAAGGUUUGUUUAAAAUUAACUUGUUAAAAGGGAAGCCUGAACUGUGCUUCUCUAUUUCUCAUCAAUAUUUCACAACUAAUAUCCAUAUUUCACAAGUAAUUACCACAGAUACUACCAUUUUUUAAGCGUUUAAGACACUUCAAAAAUAGGCAGUGAAGGAUGGAUAUUAUCCCAAUGUCUUCAGACACCCUGAUAUCCACUGUCCUAAAUUUACAUCUAGAAAAUGUUGGAGGGCAUACAGUAUUAGAAAUCUACAUAGAUUGGCUGUGUUUGAAAAUGAAUGUAUUUCCUGUUUUAAAACAAAGAACAGAGAACUUGCAAUAGCUCAUACUUUCUAACAAAAUGUAAAACCUUUAUUAAUAGGUAGCAAUUUUAGUGUGACAGUUGCUUAUUGAACUUAACAAACCUAACAUAAUUCAGUUACUUUUUCCUUAAUACAGUUAACACAGUAAAAAGUGGGAGAAAAAUUCUGAUAUUAGAGCCAUGGUGGCGGAGUGGUUAGAAUGCAGUAUUGCAGGCUAAUUCUGCUGACUGCCAGCAGUUUGAUCCUGACCAGCUCAAGGUUGACUCAGCCCUUCAUCCUUCUGAGAUCAGUAAAAUGAGGAAUCAGAUUGUUGUGGGCAAUAUGCUGUCUCUGUAAACUGCUUACAGCGGGCUAUAAAGCACUUUGAAGCCAUAUAUAUAAUAAGUCUAAGUGUUAUUGCUAUACGGUGAGGAAGAACCUCAUACUUAUUGAUGGAACCUAUUAACAGAGUUACUCAAAGCUUAUCUUUACAUUUCUCUAACCAUAGCAUGAAUACAUCUCCCUAUCAUUUUUAAGGGACAUAUCUCGGUUUUAUUCCCACACUGUUAUGGAAACACCCUGAAGUCAUUUUUAAUUGAUCUGUCAUUAAAAUGUAUUUUCUGUCACCAUUUAAACAACCUUGGUAAUAAUACAGUCAAGGGCGGGAUCUGUCUGGGUCAUACAGUACAGGCCUUUUAAGUCUUCCCUAUCCAAUCACUGUUCUCUGUGGUCAUUUUGGCUUCUGCUGCCUUUUUGGUUCUGAUGUGGGAAGUUUGAUUUUUCUUCCAUAAGGAAGUUUAGGGAAGAACGUUUAGUCCAACGUGAAUACUGCUUUCUACUUAAGAGUUAUCCUUGCAUUUAGAUUUUAAUUCUGUUUUGCCUGAAUUACGUUUCAGCUUGUUUCUGACAUCUAGUCCAACACUACCUACCCAGUCCAGAACCUUCAUUGUCAUCCUAUAUUCAGACAAAUGGAACUGGACAGAUUAAGUAUUGGCACUGUAUUUCAAAUCACUGGACAACCUCUUCUAAUUAUUUUAUGGGAAUGUCAAACAACUGAAAACGGGAUGUGAAUCUCCACAAUGAGAAAGAGCUUAACUUAUUUGUCCUAUAGAGCCACACCAGGAACUCAUCCACAAGACAAAAUUGGAAUCGGUACAAAAUAGAAGAGUGAAAUUUCUAUUCCUGAUUUUACAAUAUAUCUGUAGGAAAAUGAUAUAUAUCUGUCUGCGCUUUGAAAUCUUAAAAGAGAUACAAUUGUAAUUUACAUCCAGACUGUUAUAUAUAUCAGUGCUUUAUUAAGCAAUCAGUACAGUAUUUGAGUGCAUGCACUUGCGAAACUAUUUGGAAGGUGAGAACCAGUUUUGCACAAUCUGUAUAGUCAUCUGGUAGCCUUUCAUGGGAAUUUGUUCCUAGCUAAUUGUUGAAGGGACCUUCUGUUUGUCUCUAACUUUUCUUGGCAGGGCAAUGCAACAUAAAGAUGUAUGCUUUGGAAUCCUUUUGUUAGAAGAGGAAGUACAGGAUGGAUGGAUGGAUGGAUGGAAGGAAGGAAGGGCAAUUUAAGAAAAACUAACAAAUGAAAAACAUUUCCCCAUGGCAAUCUAAAGAAGGUGGUAGUUGACAUUAUCUUGUAUUCUUUGAUCUUUCAUUUGUAUCAAAAGAAAGUAAAUGCUUGUAGUUGCUUUCUCCGCUCUUUUUUAUAAACAUAAGGUACUGGCGAGAAUUCCCAAAAGCUUAGAAUACCUUCCACAGUUUUCAUAAAACUACUGCUUGUGAAUUGCCUGAGAAGCUUCCUUUGCUGAUAAAAUAUUCUAAUUACCACUGCUUGGUUUAGAAGCUCCCUGUUGUGAAUCCCUAAUAGCAAUGUAGAAAGUAAGGAUAACAUUAUUAUUUCAUUCAUCCAUCUUGCUGUGAUGCACAGCAUGAAGAAAGGCCCAAAUGCUGCUGCAAUAACUAAAGGUCAAUUUGAAAUAUAUAGAGAAAAAGUUAUGACCUGCUAAUCUGAAUUAGGCAUCAUCUUCCUUUAAAAAUGCUUGCAAAGUGUAAUCCAAAGUACAAAAGGCUGACUUUUCUUAACAGAUUCAAUAGAACGUACUUCAGUCAGAGACUGUACAAUACAAAAGCAGUAGCAGUUAUUACAGACUAAACUGAACAAGGUCAAGGAAGCACAGUAUUAUGAACAAAAUCAAGAAAUAGAAAUCAGGCAAACAGGAAAAAGAAACAGUAAUCUGCAAAAAAUGUCAAGAAUAGGGAAGCAGAGAUAGCCCAACAGGAGCUUUAUUACAAUGCUGUAGCUAAUAUUUUGAUCAAGAAGCCAAAUAUAUUAUCUCCUCCUCAGAUAAAAAGACAGCUAAAUAUCCCCAUUUAUCAUGUUUUCAUUUUAUUUCCAAUUAAUUCUCCCAACCACAGUAAGGAUAAAUUCAUUUAUAUAAACAAUGAAUAAAUUACAUGAAGAAUAUACCAAAAUAAUGGUGAAAAUGUUUACAUAAAUCCUGCUAUUAUACUCUGACUGCUCCUCAAAAUGGCCUCACUGUCUUCAUAGUAAUCAAGUUCAGUAUUUAAUUUUCAGCAACUAUACAGGUGUCUCCAGGUGCUCACAAGUAAAAGGCCACUCCUGGUUGUUCCUAAGUAUCUAAUAAUCAGAUUAUAUAACGGUUUAGCCAUGGGGAUUACAUUUAGCUCUCAGGAUCAAUACGCAUUGAUAGAUUUAAUUCUCAGAAAAUUGUCAAGUCUUGUUUUGAAACCAUGUAACCCUUAGCACUUAUUCCAGUACUUCAUUGGUUGUGAAGAACUCCUACACAAACGCCAUUAAAAUGAAAUGAUGGUUACAGGCUACCAGAGGUUUUGAUGGUGUGGGGGAGAAAUGUAGAAGGUUAUAAUCCUGAAGACUGUGUGGGUGACAUAUUUCUGUUGCCAGCAAUAGAAAGAGGAAAAAGUUUUUCAAUAUAUAUUUUAUGUAUUUCAAUCUAAAGAACAGUAAUCAUAAUGAAAUAUUUUAAAAAUUAUUUCUCUUUAUCCUGCCAAAAUGAGAGAAACACCUAAAAUGAUCUGCCCAGAAAGGAUUUUUGGAUAUAUUUAUUUAUUUGAUUUGUAUGGCAGAAUCACAAUUAUGGGUAUAUAAAACUAUUGACAAUGAGGGACUUCUCUAAGGUAGCAUAAUUAGUUGGAUUACAAACUGAGUUCAAUCUAUCAUAGGUGCUUUCUGUGCUAAUUCUUUACCUGCUAUGACAAUGGCAAAGAUUCCUAGGGAAUGUGAUAUAGCUGGAGGAAGUUGUAGUAAAGAGAAAACAAAGUAACAUUCUUCUAAAAUAAAAGACUUGUUUAUUUUAAAAAUAAACAAAAUCCAAAUUGACGGAUGGAGUAACUCAAUGAAGGGAGACAAAAGAAUAUUGAAAGCAAUUUAGGAAAAAGGAAAGAAGUGUAAUCUUUCCAGGACUUGCACCGAACUUCAAGAACUGAAUUUAACAUAAAAGCCAGACUCAUAAC